UCUUUCGGGGGGUACUCGAGUGGCGAACGGGUGAGUAACACGUGAGUAACCUGCCCUUGACUUUGGGAUAACUUCAGGAAACUGGGGCUAAUACCGGAUAGGAGCUCCUGCUGCAUGGUGGGGGUUGGAAAGUUUCGGCGGUUGGGGAUGGACUCGCGGCUUAUCAGCUUGUUGGUGGGGUAGUGGCUUACCAAGGCUUUGACGGGUAGCCGGCCUGAGAGGGUGACCGGCCACAUUGGGACUGAGAUACGGCCCAG
RNAcentral lists this ribosomal RNA (257 nucleotides) under uncultured Actinomycetales bacterium. RNAcentral describes it as "partial 16S ribosomal RNA". It matches the Rfam family "Bacterial small subunit ribosomal RNA", at positions 76 to 334 of the family's 1533-position model. Lineage: Bacteria; Bacillati; Actinomycetota; Actinomycetes; Actinomycetales. The record is from RNAcentral.